Molecule: ribosomal RNA, 255 nt
Filed under: Salmonella enterica subsp. enterica serovar Oranienburg
Lineage: Bacteria; Pseudomonadati; Pseudomonadota; Gammaproteobacteria; Enterobacterales; Enterobacteriaceae
Description: partial 16S ribosomal RNA
Rfam family: Bacterial small subunit ribosomal RNA
Source: RNAcentral
CCAGAGAUGGAUUGGUGCCUUCGGGAACUGUGAGACAGGUGCUGCAUGGCUGUCGUCAGCUCGUGUUGUGAAAUGUUGGGUUAAGUCCCGCAACGAGCGCAACCCUUAUCCUUUGUUGCCAGCGAUUAGGUCGGGAACUCAAAGGAGACUGCCAGUGAUAAACUGGAGGAAGGUGGGGAUGACGUCAAGUCAUCAUGGCCCUUACGACCAGGGCUACACACGUGCUACAAUGGCAUAUACAAAGAGAAGCGACCU